Molecule: ribosomal RNA, 488 nt
Filed under: uncultured bacterium
Lineage: Bacteria
Description: bacterial SSU rRNA
Rfam family: Bacterial small subunit ribosomal RNA
Source: RNAcentral
GAUGAACGCUAGCGGCAGGCCUAACACAUGCAAGUCGAGGGGUAACAUAGGAAAGCUUGCUUUUCUGAUGACGACCGGCGCACGGGUGCGUAACGCGUAUACAACCUACCUUUUAGCGGGGAAUAGCCCAGGGAAACUUGGAUUAAUGCCCCAUAGUAUAUAGACUUCUCCUGAAGUUUAUAUUAAACAUUUAUGGCUAUUAGAUGGGUAUGCGUCCUAUUAGUUAGUUGGUAAGGUAACGGCUUACCAAGGCAGCGAUAGGUAGGGGUCCUGAGAGGGAGAUCCCCACACUGGUACUGAGGCACGGACCAGACUCCUACGGGAGGCAGCAGUGAGGAAUAUUGGACAAUGGGCGAGAGCCUGAUCCAGCCAUGCCGCGUGCAGGAAGACUGCCCUAUGGGUUGUAAACUGCUUUUACAGAGGAAGAACCACCCCCACGUGUGGGGGGUUUGACGGUACUCUGCGAAUAAGGAUCGGCUAACUCCGUG